GCAAGUCGAGCGAGAAAGCACUUCGGUGCGAGUACAGCGGCGGACGGGCGAGUAACGCGUAGGAAUCUACCCAGUAGUGGGGGACAACAUGGUGAAAACCGUGCUAAUACCGCAUACGCCCUAAGGGGGAAAGCGGGGGACCUUCGGGCCUCGCGCUAUUGGAUGAGCCUGCGUCGGAUUAGCUUGUUGGUGAGGUAAAAGCUCACCAAGGCGACGAUCAGUAGCCGACCUGAGAGGGUGAUC
This 243-nucleotide ribosomal RNA is filed under the name uncultured bacterium. RNAcentral describes it as "partial 16S ribosomal RNA". It matches the Rfam family "Bacterial small subunit ribosomal RNA", at positions 57 to 305 of the family's 1533-position model. The record is from RNAcentral.